This 397-nucleotide ribosomal RNA is filed under the name uncultured bacterium. RNAcentral describes it as "partial 16S ribosomal RNA". It matches the Rfam family "Bacterial small subunit ribosomal RNA", at positions 523 to 918 of the family's 1533-position model. The record is from RNAcentral.
AUACAUAGGGGGCGAGCGUUGUCCGGAAUGAUUGGGCGUAAAGGGCGCGUAGGCGGCCCGGUAAGUCUGGAGUGAAAGUCCUGUUUUUAAGAUGGGAAUUGCUUUGGAUACUGUCGGGCUUGAGUGCAGGAGAGGUAAGUGGAAUUCCCAGUGUAGCGGUGAAAUGCGUAGAGAUUGGGAGGAACACUAGUGGCGAAGGCGACUUACUGGACUGUAACUGACGCUGAGGCGCGAAAGUGUGGGGAGCAAACAGGAUUAGAUACCCUGGUAGUCCACACUGUAAACGAUGAAUGCUAGGUGUAGGGAGUAUCGACCCCUUCUGUGCCGCAGUCAACACAAUAAGCAUUCCGCCUGGGGAGCACGGCCGCAAGGUUGAAACUUAAAGGAAUUGACGGGG